AACAAUUGGAUAAAAAGCUCAAUUUUAUUCAAUAGAAUGGUAGCCUGUAAAUGCCAGGACUCCAUGCAUCUUUAGAACAAGUUGAAAAUGGUAAUUUACAUUGAAAAGGGCUACAUUGAAUACAAUGAUCACCACUCUCCCUAUUGACUCCAAUAUCCACUGUGCUCUUGGCUUUGGUCGAGAAUGACGAAUCAGAAACAAAUGAUUUACUCAAAACUGUCUCCAAUGAUCAGGACCAACCGAAUGUAG
This 249-nucleotide long non-coding RNA is filed under the name Lathyrus oleraceus (garden pea). Its description in RNAcentral is "Pisum sativum (pea) long non-coding RNA (PSAT_LNC040194)". The record is from RNAcentral. Lineage: Eukaryota; Viridiplantae; Streptophyta; Magnoliopsida; Fabales; Fabaceae.